Molecule: long non-coding RNA, 916 nt
Organism: Hyaena hyaena (striped hyena)
Lineage: Eukaryota; Metazoa; Chordata; Mammalia; Carnivora; Hyaenidae
Exons: 3
Source: RefSeq, a predicted model, not a curated record
CACUGGCCAAAAGACUGGGGGUCCCGGGUCUUCGCCGUGGGACUCCCCCGCGGGCGUGAUUCCAGGUCUUGUCCCCUCUGCCAGGCCGGCACGAGUGAGAGCAAGUGGUCAGAGUUAUGGUCAACGUUAUGGUGCUGGCGCGCGGGAUGUGUUGGCGGGUGCUGACACAAAGAUGAAGAGCAUUUAUUGAGCACCUCCUGUGUGCAAACGCUGUGCUCCUUCGAGCUCCAGGGCCGGCUUCCAGGGCGUGCCCCCUGUGCACUUACACAGACCCUGUGCUCAGAUGGGCCUCGCGCUUGGUUGAAUGUUUGGCGGCUCCAGCCUUGGAAUUCUUAACGAUUUUGGAACACAGGCCGGUAUAUUUUUCAUUUAGUACUGGGCUCUGCAAAUUAAGUAGCCCGUCCUGGUGAGUGUGCUUGCAUUUGACCUUCUCAACGACCCCGCAGGAAAAUAUUAUGAAGUGGACAUCAGAAUAAUCUAUCGCUAAGAUGAGGAAAUAACCACAAGGAAAUGAAAUAACUUGUUCACGAGAAUACAGCUGGUCAGGGGUAGAAUGAGGAUCAGACGCCAGACCAUGGGACUAAAGCACAGAGAAGGUGCAGUCUCUCCUUGCAGUGGAAUCGCUACACAGUUCUUAAAUCUUCAAUGAAAAUACGCUGCCUGAGGAAAUGCAUAAUUGAUGAAACCCCAAAGCACCUGGCAGAGAAAGAAGCUGAGAAAGUCUCUUCUCUAUUAACCCCAGCAUCCAGUUGUUCCAGAAUUCAAUUUUAUGAAGUCUAACCCUGGUCACUGUGGUCAACCUUGUAACUCUUCUUCAAGACAACGUAAGAUAUGAAAAGACUGAAUUCCCACAGCCUUUUGAAAAGUCAGCAUUGGUUGGGGUGCCUGGCUGGCUCAGCUGGUAGAGUGUACGACU